UGGCCUAGUGUUUAAGGCACCAGGCUAGAAACCGGGAGACUGUGAGUUCUAGUCUUGC
RNAcentral lists this transfer RNA (58 nucleotides) under Notechis scutatus (mainland tiger snake). Lineage: Eukaryota; Metazoa; Chordata; Lepidosauria; Squamata; Elapidae. The record is from Rfam by way of RNAcentral. RNAcentral also lists the same sequence under 1 other name.